AACCUAGCACACCUGCGGUGUGUACCUGCGGAAGGAUCAUUACCGAGUGCGGGUCCUCGUGGCCCAACCUCCCACCCGUGACUAUUGUACCUUGUUGCUUCGGCGGGCCCGCCAGCCCUGCUGGCCGCCGGGGGGCGUCUCGCCCCCGGGCCCGUGCCCGCCGGAGACCCCAACAUGAACCCUGUUCUGAAAGCUUGCAGUCUGAGUGUGAUUCUUUGCAAUCAGUUAAAACUUUCAACA
Molecule: unclassified non-coding RNA, 240 nt
Filed under: soil metagenome
Description: partial contains 5.8S ribosomal RNA, internal transcribed spacer 2, and large subunit ribosomal RNA
Source: RNAcentral